UACGUAGGGUGCGAGCGUUAAUCGGAAUUACUGGGCGUAAAGCGCACGCAGACGGUCAGUUAAGCAAGAUGUGAAAUCCCCGGGCUUAACAUGGGAAUUGCAUUUUGAACUGGCGGACUAGAGUGUUUCAGAGGGGGGUAGAAUUCCAUGUGUAGCAGUGAAAUGCGUAGAGAUGUGGAGGAAUACCGAUGGCGAAGGCAGCCCCCUGGGAUAAGACUGACGUUCAGGCCCGAAAGCGUGGGUAGCAAACAGG
This 253-nucleotide ribosomal RNA is filed under the name uncultured bacterium. Its description in RNAcentral is "partial 16S ribosomal RNA". It matches the Rfam family "Bacterial small subunit ribosomal RNA", at positions 524 to 776 of the family's 1533-position model. The record is from RNAcentral.